GAUGAUCCUUUCUGUCUUAAGUCAACAAUGCUUCUUGACUUGAAGAAAUCCCCCACCUGCAAAUGCACAUCUCUGCAUCAAGCUCAUUUUCGGCUGGCUUCCAUUAUGGUUUAGAAGCUCCCAGGACCACAUGCUUCCUCUUUUAUUUCUGGGCUCACCAGUGCAGUGGAUUGCCUCAAUACACUAUGGAGAUUUCGGUGGAGAAAUAUGCGUCCAUCUGCUCAAUGCUACCUGCUUUCUGAAACCCCUCUGAACUCCUCCAGAAACAAUUAGAAUUUUCCACUGUAUUCUCUUAGUCCUUUGCUUAUGUAUGAGAGCACUUGCCCAACAUUAGUAUAAGUAUUUAAUUUAGGGAUCUGACUCCCAGAGUUCCGCAUCUUGUCUAAAUUUCCACAGUUUUAAUUCUCCCCUUACCUUGCUCCCGGUGCUAUCCCUGACACACAGUAGCUGCUUAAAACAUA
Molecule: long non-coding RNA, 461 nt
Organism: Hyaena hyaena (striped hyena)
Lineage: Eukaryota; Metazoa; Chordata; Mammalia; Carnivora; Hyaenidae
Exons: 3
Source: RefSeq, a predicted model, not a curated record